CUAGAUAGUCCGGCGCCUUCUCUCUUUCCAGGUAUGUUUAUGCAUUUACAUUUUAGAAUUUUUCAAUCCCAUACGCCUACUUGAUUUGAAAUUUUAGAUUUAUAUUAUAAUAAUUUGAUAGAUAUGGUGCAGUAUUGUGAUAGGUAUUGAGUGGAACCUUCAAGAUUAUAAUUUAAUGUUGGGAGGAGCCACAGUUCGUCGAAAAGACAUUACAAAUAUAAAUUAGAUGAAAAUCCUUUCAAAAGUUAUAGAAAAGUAUUCAGGUUUGUUUUUUUAUCUUGUUGCUUUGAAUUUUUUCCUCUUGUUAUAUGCUAAAAAUUCUUGUAAUAGAAGUAUCUAGACAUAAUUUUUCUCUCUUUGAACUUUCAUUUUGUAUUUUUACAAAUCAAACUUGCAUAUUUGUAUUAAUGGUUCCCUCAUUCUUUAGUGCUAAUUUUUGUUUCUUUUGAAUUUGCAGGGUGCAUUUUAAUCUGUUAAAUGCAAGCAGAUCAAAGAUCAGUCUUGAUGCAAAGAGUGAAAUUACUUUAUCGUUGCUAAUCCAGUGGCAACAUCUUUAGCUACGACGUAGAAUACCUCGAUCCAUCCGAUUUUGAAUAAAAAUAUUUGGCACUUCACCGCUACAUAAAUUGAGUGCAUUCAAAUUCAGAAAUGAAAGCACAUAAAAAUGGGAGGAAACUUGUUCAUGGCACACCCAUAUUUAUCUUGUUAAAAUUCACGGGAAUGUAUAGGAAAAUUGUGUCUUUAGUUUAAAAGUUGGUGGUUAACAAUGAAGGGUCACAACUUUUUAGAAAAGGCACAAUAUUAAUUAAUAUUUCUGUAGAUAUUUAUUUAAUUAUUGUUAAAAGGGUAUAUUGGUAAUUUAACUUUUUA
Molecule: long non-coding RNA, 870 nt
Filed under: Nicotiana tabacum (common tobacco)
Lineage: Eukaryota; Viridiplantae; Streptophyta; Magnoliopsida; Solanales; Solanaceae
Description: long non-coding RNA (NTAB_LNC007989)
Source: RNAcentral